UACAGAGGGUGCAAGCGUUGUUCGGAAUUAUUGGGCGUAAAGCGCGUGUAGGCGGCUUUGCAAGUCGGGUGUGAAAGCCCUCAGCUCAACUGAGGAAGUGCGCCCGAAACUGCAGAGCUUGAGUGCCGGAGAGGGUAGCGGAAUUCCCCAAGUAGAGGUGAAAUUCGUAGAUAUGGGGAGGAACACCGGUGGCGAAAGCGGCUCUCUGGCCCGGUUCUGACGCUGAGGCGCGAAAGCGUGGGGAGCAAACAGG
RNAcentral lists this ribosomal RNA (253 nucleotides) under uncultured bacterium. RNAcentral's name for it is "partial 16S ribosomal RNA". It matches the Rfam family "Bacterial small subunit ribosomal RNA", at positions 524 to 776 of the family's 1533-position model. The record is from RNAcentral.